AGACCCUUCUUGGUCAUUUAGAGGAAGUAAAAGUCGUAACAAGGUUUCCUUGGUGAACCAGCGGAAGGAUCAUUACAGAGAUCAUGCCCUUCGGGGUAACCUCCCACCCUGUGUUAUAUACGUUUGUUGCUUUGGCGGGCCGCCCCUGGGGCUCCCGGCUUCGGCCGGGGCGUGUCCGCCAGAGAACCCCCAAUUCGUGUUUAGUGUUGUCUGAGCAUUACAAAAUAAGUUAAAACUUUCAACAAGGAUCUCUUGGUUCUGGCAUCGAUGAAGAACGCAGCGAAAUGCGAUAAGAAUGUGAAUUGCAGAAUUCAGUGAAUCAUCGAAUCUUUGAACGCACAUUCGCCCCUGGGUAUUCCUGGGGGCAUGCCUGUUCGAGCGUCAUUUCAACCUCAAGCUCAGCUUGGUCUUGGGCCAUGCCGGCAACGGCCGGCCUUAAAAUAGUGGCGGCGCCGCCGGGCUCUACGCGUAGUACUUACUUUCUCGCGUUGGGUUCCGGUGAACGCUGGCCAGCAACCCCAAAUUUUUUCUGGUUGACCCGGAUCAGGUAGGAAUACCCGCUGAACUUAAGCAUAUCAAUAAGCGGAGA
Molecule: ribosomal RNA, 589 nt
Filed under: uncultured fungus
Lineage: Eukaryota; Fungi
Description: eukaryotic LSU rRNA
Rfam family: 5.8S ribosomal RNA (bases 234-384)
Source: RNAcentral